AGGAUGAUCAGCCUCACUGGGACUGAGACACGGCCCAGACUCCUACGGGAGGCAGCAGUGGGGAAUAUUGGACAAUGGGCGCAAGCCUGAUCCAGCCAUGCCGCGUGGGUGAUGAAGGCCCUAGGGUUGUAAAGCCCUUUCGGCGGGGAAGAUAAUGACGGUACCCGCAGAAGAAGCCCCGGCUAACUUCGUGCCAGCAGCCGCGGUAAUACGAAGGGGGCUAGCGUUGCUCGGAAUCACUGGGCGUAAAGCGCACGUAGGCGGAUUGUUAAGUCAGGGGUGAAAUCCUGGAGCUCAACUCCAGAACUGCCUUUGAUACUGGCGAUCUUGAGUCCGGGAGAGGUGAGUGGAACUGCGAGUGUAGAGGUGAAAUUCGUAGAUAUUCGCAAGAACACCAGUGGCGAAGGCGGCUCACUGGCCCGGUACUGACGCUGAGGUGCGAAAGCGUGGGGGGCAAACAGGAUUAGAUACCCUGGUAGUCCACGCCGUAAACGAUGGAUGCUAGCCGUUGGCGGGUUUACUCGUCAGUGGCGCAGCUAACGCUUUAAGCAUCCCGCCUGGGGAGUACGGUCGCAAGAUUAAAACUCAAAGGAAUGA
RNAcentral lists this ribosomal RNA (597 nucleotides) under uncultured bacterium. Its description in RNAcentral is "bacterial SSU rRNA". It matches the Rfam family "Bacterial small subunit ribosomal RNA", at positions 297 to 912 of the family's 1533-position model. The record is from RNAcentral.